GUAGGUGGCAAGCGUUGUCCGGAAUUAUUGGGCGUAAAGCGCGCGCAGGUGGUUCUUUAAGUCUGAUGUGAAAGCCCCCCGGCUCAACCGGGGAGGGUCAUUGGAAACUGGGGAACUUGAGUGCAGGAGAGGAAAGUGGAAUUCCAUGUGUAGCGGUGAAAUGCGUAGAUAUGUGGAGGAACACCAGUGGCGAAGGCGACUUUCUGGCCUGUAACUGACACUGAGGCGCGAAAGCGUGGGGAGCAAACAGGGAUUAGAUACCCUGGUAGUCCACGCCGUAAACGAUGAGUGCUAAGUGUUGGGGGGGUUUCCCGCCCCUCAGUGCUGCAGCUAACGCAUUAAGCACUCCGCCUGGGGAGUACGGUCGCAAGACUG
RNAcentral lists this ribosomal RNA (375 nucleotides) under uncultured organism. RNAcentral's name for it is "partial 16S ribosomal RNA". It matches the Rfam family "Bacterial small subunit ribosomal RNA", at positions 527 to 896 of the family's 1533-position model. The record is from RNAcentral.